This is a non-coding RNA of Caerostris extrusa, 115 nucleotides long. Lineage: Eukaryota; Metazoa; Arthropoda; Arachnida; Araneae; Araneidae. The record is from the annotation of a GenBank genome assembly.
ACGGCCAUACCAUGCUGGUACCAUAUACCGGUUCUCAUUAGAUCACCGAAGUCAAGCAUCAUUGGGCGCGGUCAGUACUUGGGUGGGUGACCACCUGGGAACACUGUGUGCUGUU